Molecule: ribosomal RNA, 98 nt
Filed under: Klebsiella aerogenes
Lineage: Bacteria; Pseudomonadati; Pseudomonadota; Gammaproteobacteria; Enterobacterales; Enterobacteriaceae
Also listed under: 4 other names
Source: RNAcentral
CCUGGCGGCGAUAGCGCGGUGGUCCCACCUGACCCCAUGCCGAACUCAGAAGUGAAACGCCGUAGCGCCGAUGGUAGUGUGGGGUCUCCCCAUGUGAG